UCUGGGACUCUCUCUCAUCAAGGAUUCUUUUCUAUUUUAAUAAGUUUUUUCCUUAUCUAGAAGAAAAUCAAAUCUUAUCAGAUUGGGGCAUUGGAAUUAGUUUUUUGUGCGACAAAAUUAAAAGGAGCGUGAAGGCUUAUGUGUGGUACUUCUUCCAAGUAUUUUUUCCUAGCUGCAAGACAUCUAUCAACGCCCUCUCCUCUCCUUCCUUCAUAUC
RNAcentral lists this long non-coding RNA (217 nucleotides) under Elaeis guineensis (African oil palm). RNAcentral's name for it is "long non-coding RNA (EGUI_LNC030685)". Lineage: Eukaryota; Viridiplantae; Streptophyta; Magnoliopsida; Arecales; Arecaceae. The record is from RNAcentral.